This 1054-nucleotide unclassified non-coding RNA is filed under the name Hevea brasiliensis (rubber tree). The record is from RNAcentral. Lineage: Eukaryota; Viridiplantae; Streptophyta; Magnoliopsida; Malpighiales; Euphorbiaceae.
GACGAAUUCAAAAUAUAAAUUCUUUCUUUUUUAAUAUUUAAAAAUUCGCAAUUGUUAUUUUUACGAGUUAGAAAAAGAGACUCGUCUCUCUAUAAAAAGCCCUAAAGCUCCUCCUUUUCAACGCUUUUUACACCAGAUCUCUUGGACUGACUCCGUGGAGAUGCGUGCUUGCUGAGGGAGGCCAUUUUUACAAUCUGGAGAGAGUUGGAGGAGAAGAGAUUUCAUCAAUGGAGAAUGGUGGUAACGGAGUGGUGACGUUGUUGUUCACGGAAGAGGAGUUGCGUGAGAUAAGUGGGGUAAAGAGAUGCGAUGAUUAUGUGGAGGUGAUGUGUGGGUGUACAAGCCAUCGAUAUGGUGAUGCUGUUGCUAGACUUAGGGUUUUCUCGUCUGGUGAACUUGAAAUCACCUGUGAAUGUACUCCUGGAUGCACUGAAGACAAGCUUACUCCGUCUGCGUUUGAGAAGCAUUCUGGGAGAGAAACUGCUAGGAAAUGGAAAAAUAAUGUAUGGAUCAUUGUCAAUGGUGAUAAAGUUCCUGUGGUAAAGACCCCAUUGCUAAAAUAUUAUAACAAGUCUCUAAAGCAUGCUAUUUCUCAAAAUGGAAAAGCUUGUCAUCGUGAUGAGUUCCUAAGAUGUACCGAGUGCAACAAAGCCCGCAGGUUCCGUCUCCGUUCAAAGGAAGAGUGCAGAACUUACCAUGAUGCUUUGGCGAAUGUGCAUUGGAACUGCUCUUGUAUUCCUUAUGACAAAUUUUCAUGUGACGAUGAAGAAGAGCGAGCAAGCCGUAGGGUGUACAGGGGAUGUUCUCGUUCUCCCACAUGUAAAGGUUGCACCACCUGUGUUUGUUUUGGUUGCGAAAUAUGCAGAUUUUCGGACUGCAGUUGCCAGACGUGCAGUGACUUCACAAAGAAUGCAAAAGGCUGAAUUAUUUGUUUCCAAUUUGAAUGGGGUAUGUGUUCCCCAUCAUUAUUAAUUCAUCUAAAAACCCCUACUGCUCAUGUUUUUGCUGACAUAUCUAAGACCCAUUAAUUGCCGUUUUACAUUCACAAUCAAAG